Molecule: ribosomal RNA, 253 nt
Filed under: uncultured prokaryote
Description: partial 16S ribosomal RNA
Rfam family: Bacterial small subunit ribosomal RNA
Source: RNAcentral
UACGGAGGGUGCAAGCGUUAAUCGGAAUUACUGGGCGUAAAGCGCACGCAGGUGGCUGAGUCAGUCGAUUGUGAAAGCCCUGGGCUUAACCUGGGAAUUGCAGUCGAUACUACUCAGCUAGAGUAUGGGAGAGGGCAGUGGAAUUCCCGGUGUAGCGGUGAAAUGCGUAGAUAUCGGGAGGAACAUCAGUGGCGAAGGCGAGUCCCUGGAAAAUUCCUGACACUGAGGCACGAAAGCUAGGGGAGCAAACAGG